Long non-coding RNA from Zonotrichia leucophrys gambelii, 723 nucleotides. RefSeq lists it as uncharacterized. The record is from RefSeq and is a predicted model, not a curated record. The transcript has 3 exons. NCBI's taxonomy places the organism in Eukaryota, Metazoa, Chordata, Aves, Passeriformes, Passerellidae.
AGAAGCUUGCAGUCUUCUGGUGUAGUAAGGUGUUACUCUGUGUGGCUGGAAGCUUGGCAUGUUCUGAUGUGGUAGGCAUCCCGCUAACCCCAGUUAAGCUGUCAGAAUCUCUGGAUAAAACUUCCCAGCCCUUCCUGAUGGUGUCAAGAACAUGAAGUCAUGGUACUGUAAAAGCAUUUUGAAUAGGAGCUGCUUAGGCAGAUCUCCAGUUGGCAUCGUGAGGCACAAGUUGGAAGCCAGCCUGGAGCAGAGGAGGAGGGAGCCUCAGCAGGACACAGCGCACAAGACGUCUCUGGCAAGCACAUACGAGGAGCAGCUGAGAGGAUUUGACAGAUGAGCAGAGAUGGCAGAUACUGGAUCUCCCACCAGGAUAAACAGAAUGCCAAACAGAUAAACAUGGUUUAUAGCUUACCUGUGCUAUAGCUAAGCAAUUUGGCAUAAUUGGACUGGAUAGUUAUUUACCUCAUAACUUUAUAUUGCAGAACUUUCUUAUCAAGUCAAUCUUAGCAAUUUAUCUCAUAAAAAGGAUAAUAUUAAGUUAAGAAGAAAAAUAUUUUUGUAUAUCUACAAUGAGAAGUUGCACAGCAUGCAUAGUACAGUUUAUGGAAAUAUCAUCGUUUAAUCUGCUUUUCAACAAUUACUCAAAUUAGAGACUUAUUUAACUUGGUAGUUGAAUUCAACCCAAUCUCUGUCUUUGAGAUAGUAAAGCCUGCUGAGAAAGGA